AUCAAUAUCCAAUUCUUCUCUCUCGUUCGCUCUCAUCAUUUUGUCCUUGCUCCCUCUCUCUCGUCUCCCCACCCGAGCUUGGUUGGUGAGUGGCGGCCGGACGCCUCUGCUAGGCACAACCACCAUAGGCACGGUGAUGGUUUUUUUCGCUCUCCCCGGUGCAACAGCGACUGCGUCUUCCUCCGUCGUCUUCCUCUCCCCUAUGCAGCGGCCAUCCGAUUCCACCAACACAAAAGGUUCUCCACUCGUGCCUCCCUCUCCUCUCCUCUACUCUCAUGUCCCGUGAGGUGGAGAAGGAUGCGCGGGGGCUAGAUCCGGCAGCCCCCGAGCUCGGCACCACCACGACGGCGAGGAGGAGGACUGGCGAAGAGUGGCGAUGGUGAUAGGCUUGGCCUUCGGUGAGCAACUAAUGGCCGCGAUAGCCUCGGUGGACUAUGAUUCGGUUUUUGUAGUUAACCUUUUGUGUUGAAUGUUGAUAUUCUAUAUAUCAUUCGGUGAUU
RNAcentral lists this small RNA (500 nucleotides) under Oryza sativa Japonica Group (Japanese rice). Its description in RNAcentral is "sRNA Os03g0357200". The record is from RNAcentral. Lineage: Eukaryota; Viridiplantae; Streptophyta; Magnoliopsida; Poales; Poaceae.